GGAGAAGUGCCAGAGAGGCUGAAUGGGACGGUCUCGAAAACCGUUAUCCGCUAUAUGCGGAUCGAGGGUUCGAAUCCCUCCUUCUCCG
Molecule: transfer RNA, 88 nt
Filed under: Cyclobacteriaceae bacterium
Lineage: Bacteria; Pseudomonadati; Bacteroidota; Cytophagia; Cytophagales; Cyclobacteriaceae
Description: tRNA-Ser
Rfam family: tRNA
About the family: Transfer RNA (tRNA) molecules are approximately 80 nucleotides in length. Their secondary structure includes four short double-helical elements and three loops (D, anti-codon, and T loops). Further hydrogen bonds mediate the characteristic L-shaped molecular structure. tRNAs have two regions of fundamental functional importance: the anti-codon, which is responsible for specific mRNA codon recognition, and the 3' end, to which the tRNAs corresponding amino acid is attached (by aminoacyl-tRNA synthetases). tRNAs cope with the degeneracy of the genetic code in two manners: having more than one tRNA (with a specific anti-codon) for a particular amino acid; and 'wobble' base-pairing, i.e. permitting non-standard base-pairing at the 3rd anti-codon position.
Source: RNAcentral